UGGGGAAUAUUGCACAAUGGGGGAAACCCUGAUGCAGCGACGCCGCGUGAGCGAAGAAGUAUUUCGGUAUGUAAAGCUCUAUCAGCAGGGAAGAAAAUGACGGUACCUGACUAAGAAGCACCGGCUAAAUACGUGCCAGCAGCCGCGGUAAUACGUAUGGUGCAAGCGUUAUCCGGAUUUACUGGGUGUAAAGGGAGCGUAGACGGUUGUGUAAGUCUGAUGUGAAAGCCCGGGGCUCAACCCCGGGACUGCGUUGGAAACUAUGUAACUAGAGUGUCGGAGAGGUAAGCGGAAUUCCUAGUGUAGCGGUGAAAUGCGUAGAUAUUAGGAGGAACACCAGUGGCGAAGGCGGCUUACUGGACGAUCACUGACGUUGAGGCUCGAAAGCGUGGGGAGCAAACAGG
RNAcentral lists this ribosomal RNA (404 nucleotides) under Acidobacteriota bacterium. Its description in RNAcentral is "Acidobacteria bacterium partial 16S ribosomal RNA". It matches the Rfam family "Bacterial small subunit ribosomal RNA", at positions 355 to 776 of the family's 1533-position model. Lineage: Bacteria; Pseudomonadati; Acidobacteriota. The record is from RNAcentral.